CAUGAGCUCGGCACUCGGGUAGA
RNAcentral lists this microRNA (23 nucleotides) under Ascaris suum (pig roundworm). RNAcentral describes it as "asu-miR-100a-2-3p". Its record names the gene asu-miR-100a-2-3p. Lineage: Eukaryota; Metazoa; Nematoda; Chromadorea; Rhabditida; Ascarididae. The record is from miRBase by way of RNAcentral.